RNAcentral lists this ribosomal RNA (588 nucleotides) under Alcanivorax borkumensis. Its description in RNAcentral is "bacterial SSU rRNA". It matches the Rfam family "Bacterial small subunit ribosomal RNA", at positions 55 to 635 of the family's 1533-position model. Lineage: Bacteria; Pseudomonadati; Pseudomonadota; Gammaproteobacteria; Oceanospirillales; Alcanivoracaceae. The record is from RNAcentral.
AUGCAAGUCGAGCGGAACGAUCCUAGCUUGCUAGGAGGCGUCGAGCGGCGGACGGGUGAGUAACACGUGAGAAUCUGCCCAUUAGAGGGGGAUAACCUGGGGAAACCCAGGCUAAUACCGCAUAAUCCCUACGGGGGAAAGCAGGGGAUCUUCGGACCUUGUGCUGAUGGAUGAGCUCGCGUCGGAUUAGCUUGUUGGUGAGGUAAUGGCUCACCAAGGCGACGAUCCGUAGCUGGUCUUAGAGGAUGAUCAGCCACGCCGGGACUGAGACACGGCCCGGACUCCUACGGGAGGCAGCAGUGGGGAAUCUUGGACAAUGGGGGCAACCCUGAUCCAGCCAUGCCGCGUGUGUGAAGAAGGCCUUCGGGUUGUAAAGCACUUUCAGUAGGGAGGAAGGCUUAUCCUUAAUACGGAUGAGUACUUGACGUUACCUACAGAAGAAGCACCGGCUAAUUUCGUGCCAGCAGCCGCGGUAAUACGAAAGGUGCGAGCGUUAAUCGGAAUUACUGGGCGUAAAGCGCGCGUAGGCGGUUUGCUAAGUCAGAUGUGAAAGCCCCGGGCUCAACCUGGGAACUGCAUUUGAAACUG